UGCGUAGGUGGUGAGGUAAGUCGGAUGUGAAAGCUCCGAGCUCAACUCGGAAAUGGCAUUGGAAACUACCUUGCUAGAGGGUUUGAGGGGGGACUGGAAUACUUGGUGUAGCAGUGAAAUGCGUAGAUAUCAAGUGGAACACCAGUGGCGAAGGCGAGUCCCUGGAAAACUCCUGACACUGAGGCACGAAAGCUAGGGGAGCAAACA
RNAcentral lists this ribosomal RNA (207 nucleotides) under uncultured bacterium. RNAcentral describes it as "partial 16S ribosomal RNA". It matches the Rfam family "Bacterial small subunit ribosomal RNA", at positions 568 to 774 of the family's 1533-position model. The record is from RNAcentral.